RNAcentral lists this ribosomal RNA (1372 nucleotides) under uncultured bacterium. RNAcentral's name for it is "bacterial SSU rRNA". It matches the Rfam family "Bacterial small subunit ribosomal RNA", at positions 28 to 1381 of the family's 1533-position model. The record is from RNAcentral.
GAUGAACGCUGGCGGCGUGCCUAAUACAUGCAAGUCGAGCGAACGGACGAGAAGCUUGCUUCUCUGAUGUUAGCGGCGGACGGGUGAGUAACACGUGGAUAACCUACCUAUAAGACUGGGAUAACUUCGGGAAACCGGAGCUAAUACCGGAUAAUAUUUUGAACCGCAUGGUUCAAAAGUGAAAGACGGUCUUGCUGUCACUUAUAGAUGGAUCCGCGCUGCAUUAGCUAGUUGGUAAGGUAACGGCUUACCAAGGCAACGAUGCAUAGCCGACCUGAGAGGGUGAUUGGCCACACUGGAACUGAGACACGGUCCAGACUCCUACGGGAGGCAGCAGUAGGGAAUCUUCCGCAAUGGGCGAAAGCCUGACGGAGCAACGCCGCGUGAGUGAUGAAGGUCUUCGGAUCGUAAAACUCUGUUAUUAGGGAAGAACAUAUGUGUAAGUAACUGUGCACAUCUUGACGGUACCUAAUCAGAAAGCCACGGCUAACUACGUGCCAGCAGCCGCGGUAAUACGUAGGUGGCAAGCGUUAUCCGGAAUUAUUGGGCGUAAAGCGCGCGUAGGCGGUUUUUUAAGUCUGAUGUGAAAGCCCACGGCUCAACCGUGGAGGGUCAUUGGAAACUGGAAAACUUGAGUGCAGAAGAGGAAAGUGGAAUUCCAUGUGUAGCGGUGAAAUGCGCAGAGAUAUGGAGGAACACCAGUGGCGAAGGCGACUUUCUGGUCUGUAACUGACGCUGAUGUGCGAAAGCGUGGGGAUCAAACAGGAUUAGAUACCCUGGUAGUCCACGCCGUAAACGAUGAGUGCUAAGUGUUAGGGGGUUUCCGCCCCUUAGUGCUGCAGCUAACGCAUUAAGCACUCCGCCUGGGGAGUACGACCGCAAGGUUGAAACUCAAAGGAAUUGACGGGGACCCGCACAAGCGGUGGAGCAUGUGGUUUAAUUCGAAGCAACGCGAAGAACCUUACCAAAUCUUGACAUCCUUUGACAACUCUAGAGAUAGAGCCUUCCCCUUCGGGGGACAAAGUGACAGGUGGUGCAUGGUUGUCGUCAGCUCGUGUCGUGAGAUGUUGGGUUAAGUCCCGCAACGAGCGCAACCCUUAAGCUUAGUUGCCAUCAUUAAGUUGGGCACUCUAAGUUGACUGCCGGUGACAAACCGGAGGAAGGUGGGGAUGACGUCAAAUCAUCAUGCCCCUUAUGAUUUGGGCUACACACGUGCUACAAUGGACAAUACAAAGGGCAGCGAAACCGCGAGGUCAAGCAAAUCCCAUAAAGUUGUUCUCAGUUCGGAUUGUAGUCUGCAACUCGACUACAUGAAGCUGGAAUCGCUAGUAAUCGUAGAUCAGCACGCUACGGUGAAUACGUUCCCGGGUCU